AUGCAGUCGAGCGAAUGGAUUAAGAGCUUGCUCUUAUGAAGUUAGCGGCGGACGGGUGAGUAACACGUGGGUAACCUGCCCAUAAGACUGGGAUAACUCCGGGAAACCGGGGCUAAUACCGGAUAACAUUUUGAACCGCAUGGUUCGAAAUUGAAAGGCGGCUUCGGCUGUCACUUAUGGAUGGACCCGCGUCGCAUUAGCUAGUUGGUGAGGUAACGGCUCACCAAGGCAACGAUGCGUAGCCGACCUGAGAGGGUGAUCGGCCACACUGGGACUGAGACACGGCCCAGACUCCUACGGGAGGCAGCAGUAGGGAAUCUUCCGCAAUGGACGAAAGUCUGACGGAGCAACGCCGCGUGAGUGAUGAAGGCUUUCGGGUCGUAAAACUCUGUUGUUAGGGAAGAACAAGUGCUAGUUGAAUAAGCUGGCACCUUGACGGUACCUAACCAGAAAGCCACGGCUAACUACGUGCCAGCAGCCGCGGUAAUACGUAGGUGGCAAGCGUUAUCCGGAAUUAUUGGGCGUAAAGCGCGCGCAGGUGGUUUCUUAAGUCUGAUGUGAAAGCCCACGGCUCAACCGUGGAGGGUCAUUGGAAACUGGGAGACUUGAGUGCAGAAGAGGAAAGUGGAAUUCCAUGUGUAGCGGUGAAAUGCGUAGAGAUAUGGAGGAACACCAGUGGCGAAGGCGACUUUCUGGUCUGUAACUGACACUGAGGCGCGAAAGCGUG
RNAcentral lists this ribosomal RNA (727 nucleotides) under Bacillus cereus. RNAcentral describes it as "bacterial SSU rRNA". It matches the Rfam family "Bacterial small subunit ribosomal RNA", at positions 55 to 763 of the family's 1533-position model. The record is from RNAcentral. Lineage: Bacteria; Bacillati; Bacillota; Bacilli; Caryophanales; Bacillaceae.